Molecule: microRNA precursor, 203 nt
Organism: Oryza sativa Japonica Group (Japanese rice)
Lineage: Eukaryota; Viridiplantae; Streptophyta; Magnoliopsida; Poales; Poaceae
Rfam family: MIR812 microRNA precursor family
Source: Rfam
UAUAAGGGAUUUUGAGUUUUUGUUUGUAACGUUUGAUCACUCGUCUUAUUCAAAAUUUUUUGAAAUUAUUAUUUAUUUUAUUUGUGACUUACUUUAUUAUCUAUAGUACUUUAAGCAGAACUUUUCGUUUUUUAUAUUUGCCAAAAAAAUUUAAAUAAGACGAGUGGUCAAAUGUUGUAAGGAAAAACUUAAAAUCCCUUAUA